GGAGGAGGGUAUCAGUGGUACAGUGCGUGCUUAGCAUGCACAUGGUCCUGGGUUCAAUCCCCAGUACCUCCA
Molecule: transfer RNA, 72 nt
Filed under: Camelus bactrianus (Bactrian camel)
Lineage: Eukaryota; Metazoa; Chordata; Mammalia; Artiodactyla; Camelidae
Also listed under: 1 other name
Rfam family: tRNA
About the family: Transfer RNA (tRNA) molecules are approximately 80 nucleotides in length.
Source: Rfam by way of RNAcentral